AAGACAACAGGCCAUGAACUGCAGGCUUGUUGGUGAAAAUGUUAAAGAAAAUUACCCAGAACCAUCAAUUUAUGAAGGAGAUGCUGUCUGGAUUCAUUUCCAGAAGAAAAUGAAACAAUAGAAGGAGAAUCUGUGGAAGAAGAAUAUGCCUCAUCUGGAAAGUUGAAGCAUAUUGAAGAUCAUUUGAAAACAACUGGGGAGAUGGAGACAGUUUCAAUAUGUCGACAAUACAUGCCAAAGGAUUGUCCGUGGGCUGCAAGGUGCAAGGUG
This is a long non-coding RNA of Rhineura floridana, 270 nucleotides long. RefSeq lists it as uncharacterized. Lineage: Eukaryota; Metazoa; Chordata; Lepidosauria; Squamata; Rhineuridae. The record is from RefSeq and is a predicted model, not a curated record. The transcript has 3 exons.